UGGAAAACUUGCUAAAUCUGUCUUUCAGAUCAGGCAUUCAGUUCCACCCAGAAGCUGAAAAUAUUUGACAACUUUCAGUGUUUUUUCCUCCUCUGUGGAACUUAAAAAUACAGAACCCUGUGAGAAUGAAUGAGAAGCCCGGCUUAUGUAAUGCUGGUAGAGCUUAGCUGCACAUUCAGAUUGUAUUUAAGGCAAAGCUUAACAUGCAGAUGAGGUUUUACAAUUCUUCAUCCCUCCUGUUCUUCCUUGUUUCCCUAUAAUGGAUUUUGAUUUAUUUGAUAAUGGGAUCAGACUUCUCUCCUCUGUAUCAUCAGGAACCUUUACAAGUUUUCUGCUAAGGGAAGGGAUAGCAAGAUUUGCAUUAUGGGGCUUUUUUGUUAUCUUCCCUCCACUGCAACUGAGAUUUGAGAAACCAUGCAUGUGAGUGUCUGUCUGUGUAAGCAAUGUGGUGAUGAUCACUUUGAUCAGCCCUGGUACCAGCACUGCCAGCCCUUUUCCCACUGCACGCAGGAGCACAUCCCAUAAAUCCGGAGUGACUGCAGCCAGCCAUCUGCAAGGGAGCCAACAUUCAGCUGCAACGAGCAGGUCUCAGAGGAAAGGACUGGCAAACCACCUUCCUAUCGAGCCACAACAGCAGAGGAGAAGGAGGACAGGGCAUCAGGAACCAGGGCCAAAAGACCUAAAGAUGUAGUGGCUGCUUGCCCACAAUAAGUUCUUCCAAGUUUCAGGUGGGUCAUGUGCUUAUGAGCCUGGGCCCCAGACUGGAUUUUAAGUGCAGGUCCUCUGAAUUGCUACCUCGUGCCAG
Molecule: long non-coding RNA, 805 nt
Filed under: Zonotrichia albicollis (white-throated sparrow)
Lineage: Eukaryota; Metazoa; Chordata; Aves; Passeriformes; Passerellidae
Description: lncRNA (ENSZALG00000013323.1)
Source: RNAcentral